This 56-nucleotide ribosomal RNA is filed under the name Mammillaria plumosa. RNAcentral's name for it is "partial 26S ribosomal RNA". The record is from RNAcentral. Lineage: Eukaryota; Viridiplantae; Streptophyta; Magnoliopsida; Caryophyllales; Cactaceae.
CGACCCCAGGUCAGGAGGGGCUGCCCGUUAAGUUUAAGCAUAUCAAUAAGCGGAGG